AGUUGAAAAAGGCAAAGCUAUCGAAAGAUAGUGACUGCAAAGCUAUGGGUCUAAAGCUGUUAUCCAGCUAUGAUCGCCAGGCCGCCAGC
This 89-nucleotide non-coding RNA is filed under the name Desulfobacter sp. RNAcentral describes it as "Desulfitibacter sp. c-di-GMP sequence". It matches the Rfam family "c-di-GMP-I riboswitch aptamer". From Rfam's summary of the family: GEMM was predicted in a large-scale screen for bacterial structured RNA regulatory elements. Genes associated with GEMM are involved in a diverse array of functions, including chemotaxis regulation, signal transduction, secretion and chitin. Lineage: Bacteria; Pseudomonadati; Thermodesulfobacteriota; Desulfobacteria; Desulfobacterales; Desulfobacteraceae. The record is from RNAcentral.